This 119-nucleotide ribosomal RNA is filed under the name Propithecus coquereli (Coquerel's sifaka). The record is from RNAcentral. Lineage: Eukaryota; Metazoa; Chordata; Mammalia; Primates; Indriidae.
GUCUAUAGCCAUAUCACCUUGAACAUGCUCGAUCUUGUCUGUUCUUGGAAGCUAAGCAGGGUUGGGCUUGGUUAGUACUUGGAUGGGAGACUGCCUGCGACUACCGAGUACUGUAGAUU